CGAACGCUGGCGGCGUGCCUAAUACAUGCAAGUCGAGCGGACCUCUUCGGAGGUCAGCGGCGGACGGGUGAGUAACACGUGGGCAACCUGCCUGUAAGACUGGGAUAACUCCGGGAAACCGGAGCUAAUACCGGAUACUAUGUCAAACCGCAUGGUUUGACAUUCAAAGACGGUUUCGGCUGUCACUUACAGAUGGGCCCGCGGCGCAUUAGCUAGUUGGUGAGGUAAUGGCUCACCAAGGCGACGAUGCGUAGCCGACCUGAGAGGGUGAUCGGCCACACUGGGACUGAGACACGGCCCAGACUCCUACGGGAGGCAGCAGUAGGGAAUCUUCCGCAAUGGACGAAAGUCUGACGGAGCAACGCCGCGUGAGUGAUGAAGGUUUUCGGAUCGUAAAACUCUGUUGUCAGGGAAGAACAAGUGCCGGAGUAACUGCCGGCACCUUGACGGUACCUGACCAGAAAGCCACGGCUAACUACGUGCCAGCAGCCGCGGUAAUACGUAGGUGGCAAGCGUUGUCCGGAAUUAUUGGGCGUAAAGCGCGCGCAGGCGGUUUCUUAAGUCUGAUGUGAAAGCCCCCGGCUCAACCGGGGAGGGUCAUUGGAAACUGGGAAACUUGAGUGCAGAAGAGGAGAGUGGAAUUCCACGUGUAGCGGUGAAAUGCGUAGAGAUGUGGAGGAACACCAGU
This 688-nucleotide ribosomal RNA is filed under the name Metabacillus indicus. RNAcentral's name for it is "bacterial SSU rRNA". It matches the Rfam family "Bacterial small subunit ribosomal RNA", at positions 30 to 713 of the family's 1533-position model. The record is from RNAcentral. Lineage: Bacteria; Bacillati; Bacillota; Bacilli; Caryophanales; Bacillaceae.